RNAcentral lists this long non-coding RNA (4283 nucleotides) under Zea mays. Its description in RNAcentral is "long non-coding RNA (ZMAY_LNC001040)". Lineage: Eukaryota; Viridiplantae; Streptophyta; Magnoliopsida; Poales; Poaceae. The record is from RNAcentral.
GAAAUGAUAUGAAUAUGAAUGCUUAUGCUUUUGUAAUUUGCAAAGAAGAUAGCAAAACAACUCUCUAGACUAUACCAAAAUCAAUGGUCUUUUAUGUAAACUUGUUUCUUCACCAACUAAUUCCUUUCAUCCACUGAUCGCACCACUACGAUUCACACGCACAUCACAAAGCCCAAGCUGAUGGUGUGAACCACAAGCCAGUUAUAAACAGUCGCGGACAAUCUUUCCCGGGACAUAAAAUUAUGCUACGAUUAAUCCAAACACACACGCAACCAUGCCAAUCACCAAGGUGCAGUUACCCAACGACGACAGCAAGUUCUACGGACGCAAAGACGUCGAGUUGGAGGACGGUGCUGUGCUAAGGAGCUAGAUAACGUACGACGGCGCGACGACGAUGUCUUGAUGGUGAGGUAAGGACUCUGACGUGGAGAGGAGGACUGGGUGCCGGCAAGCUCGCACACCAGGGAGCGCGGCGAGCAGCAGCGUAUGUCCAGAUGCAGCGAUGAGGGAGGUCGAGUAGAGAAAACCGCCGGCGGGCCGGAGCUGCAGGGGAUAAUGACAACAAUAAUACUAAGUACAUGGUCGGCAGUUCCAAAAAAAAAAUCUACGGCGAACCCAUGAGGCAGGCGCCAGGGAAGACCUGUGCUGAGCGCUGCUGUAGCCUCGGCGAGGUGCUCAGCAGCCACGUACGAUGGGGAAAGCCAAGCAGGGUGGAGGCACGACAAAGUGGGGCUUUGUGUGAUAAAGGAAGGGAGCUGAGCCGAGCGCUACUGCUGCUGCACGAGGGAGGCACAGUGGGGAAACCAGGAAAUCGUCGAGAGCACAAGCAAUUCAGUUUGGGCUCCAAACUAGCAUAACAAGAGUUGGCUUAAUGGAGGUCGGGCUGGGGCUAUUUUGUUAACAGCACUCAAUCUCGAGGACGAACUCACACUCAAUUCACUCCAACACAAACUAUGAUUUGAGACAGAAUAUAGGAUAGACAGCAAGCAGGUGAUCAGAUACUAGAGAAAGACACUAGAAGAAUCUAGAAGCACAGGAAAUGUGGAUCUGGGUACAAGAGGAAGACGCUAAGGAAGAAGAAGCAUAAUAACCAAGAGUCUGUUCUCUGAAUAAUUCCCUGCUGCUAUGUUUCCUUGCUCCUUUGUAGCACAAGACAUCAGAUAGUUGGGCUGCACCAUGGGCUAUUGGGCCGGCAGUCCCUAACAUUCCCCCUUUCUUAAAAUGCGGCUUGCCCUCAAGCCGAUGUGUAACAUUACUUCCACCAAUUACUUCCACCAGGAUCCCAGGAAAAUUGCAAGCACCAGAUGACUCUAAAAAGGAUGAACAUGAUCCACAUAACUGAAUGAAUGACCUGAGGAAUCCUUUGUGAUCCAAACACUAUUACUGCAUCAACGGACAAAGCCUUUAUUUUCCCUGCUCUUGGAAUUUCUAACUCAUACAGUCCAAAUACAACUAGUGCCACCAAAGGAGUAGCUGAAAGUGAACUCAGAUACCUGGCAACAUUACACCAAAGGCCACUGAAGGCAACUAUAAUCUGUAAAGCUGAAGCCACAAUCAACGCACCAUGUGUCCCACGCAUGAUGCCCAGAAAUUUAAUGUGUGAACUAGGUUCAUUAGCAGAACGUCCACCAAGGAUGAUAGAAAUGGUAUACAGAACAAAAGUGUAUGACCCGCCAGUCACUGCAGGCAACCUGGUACCCAAGAAACUCUGACGUAGGGUGUUCAUACCUACAACGAACAUCAAUGUCUGGAUAACCACAACUUUGUCCUCAUAUUUUCCUCCCAUUUGUGGAACAAGUGCAGUUGGUAUGAUCACAGUUGUACCAAGCAUGACCGCAUAAUGUUGGAACCCAAGAAGAACAACUUUAGCUCCAUAUAAAUUUCCAGGUCUGUGAUACGAGGGAUGAUCAACAAACACCCGUUCAACUGAAUCUCUAUACUCAUGGAAGAAAGUAACUUCGUGUUCACCGCCCAAGCAUGGAAUCUGAAUGUGCUUCUCUGUGUAAAAUGCAAUUGCAUAAUUCUUAGCAGUAAUGUUAUCUUGAUCCAAGUCAACAAGUAUCUUGUUUAGCUGACGAUGACCAUUGUCUGCGACGCUAGCCUGUCUCAUUUGCUCUUCAUUCAGACCUGUGCCCUGGAGUGUUUUCCUAUGAAGUGCAUCCACAACACCCUGAAUUGGAAUCUUGAGCACAAGAGCAUUGCUAGGGGAGCCAACAGAAACAAGCAGCUGCUGAACCCUGACGUUCAGUGCUGACCCAGUGAUUAAAUUUACUAAACACAAAUCCAAACAUUGAUUCUGAAUAUUCCCAGCAUCAGGUGACAAUUGCAAUGUAUACUGUAAGGAAGCACUUCUAGUACUGCAGGUGUAAUGAAUUCUGAACAAAUUGCCUCGAUCAAAUGCUAACCAAGGAGGCUUUGGCAGGAUGUAUCCGACUACUACCAGUGAUUUAACGGGUUGUGGCCAUGGUGGACUUUGUUGUAAAGCAACCAGGUCCAGAAUGAAAAAAUACCAUAAAAUGAAGCGCAACUCAAUGGUGGCUGUCAUCAAAGUGCUAUGUUCCCUUGGUUGCAUUUCACCGAGCACCACUUGAGCAUCAAUCAAAGUAGAUGAAGGUGUGCCUGCAAUAGUCACCACGGCUACCAGACUGGGCUUACCAAUGUUGUGCAGUGCCUGGCUGGGACAAUUGGUCGAACACGCGAAGGAAGAGCUGCUACUGCUGCCCGUCUCCGGCUUGAUGAUGAUGGAGGAGUAGAUGGUAGUGACGACAGCAUUAUGGAACUCGACGCAGUAGUUGGUGAUGUCGUCCUCGGCGUAGGGGUCGAGCAGCAAGAGUUGGUCGAGCUGCCCGGGGUCUCCCGCGCCCGCGGCCAUGGCCUCCUCGACAGCGGAAGUCUGGGCGUCGUGCGGUCGAUCUUCACAAACAUCCUGAUCUGCUCUCGACUCGAGUGCUUCUCCCCUGCCGCUCGUCCUGCUCGCUGAUUGAUCGCUGCGCACCUGCGCCUGCUGCUGGAGCUCGAUCUGGAAGGUGCCUACUGCUGGAGCUCGAUCGAGAGGUCCUGGUGGAUCCGUCCAGGGAGCAGGGUGCUCGCCUGCUCGGCCGUAGACAUUGAAGGCGCCCGGGCCCCUGACCGCGGACUGCAUGUGCGCGUCGAUCUCCCAGGCCUCCCGGAGCGGGGUGUGGGCGUCGAAGCGGAUCUGCUGCAUGAAGGAGGGCCUCCAGAUGGUGAGGGCGUGUUGCGAGUAGUUCCCAGCGAAGCUGAGCGUCGGGGUUCGGCGUCGGGUUGUGGCCUCCACCGGAACUGGGACUGCGCCCAACUCAACGAGACCGCCUACGGCCACAUCGCCAUGGCCUGGCUCGAGGGCCCCUUCGCCGACAUGGGUGGGGAUGCUGUCGGCGCCCGAGCCAAGCGGCGCGUCGGGGUCGGUGGAGGUGACGAGCGCCUUGGUAGGGACGGCGCCCGAUUCGCUGUUGCAGGGGAAGGAAGUGCUUCCUGGCAGAUCGAGAUCCUCGCCACCGAAGAACCCUCCCCAGUUGUCGGCGACGACGGAUGGCGCCGUACAGUACUGCUCUCUGUCAUCGAAGCACCCGCCCCAGUUGUCGACAAUGACGACGGCCUCAACAGCCGCAGCGGGGGUGGCCGGCACGCUGGCGGAUGCGUCGGAGAAGUGGUCGACGCUGAGCGGGGUGGCUGGGAGAUCGAAUGACGCGGAGGGCAAUGACCCCAGAAGGUGGGCGGGCUGCUGCAGCUUGUCGAAGAGCCGGUUGACACGGGCAUCUGCCUCGUCGAACCUUCUGUUGAUCUCGUCGAGGAGGAACUUGAGGGCAGCGGGAUCCAUUGGAGCUAACCGAGAAUCGACUCCUCUGAUACCAAUUGUUAACAGCACUCAAUCUCGAGGACGAACUCACACUCAAUUCACUCCAACACAAACUAUGAUUUGAGACAGAAUAUAGGAUAGACAGCAAGCAGGUGAUCAGAUACUAGAGAAAGACACUAGAAGAAUCUAGAAGCACAGGAAAUGUGGAUCUGGGUACAAGAGGAAGACGCUAAGGAAGAAGAAGCAUAAUAACCAAGAGUCUGUUCUCUGAAUAAUUCCCUGCUGCUAUGUUUCCUUGCUCCUUUGUAGCACAAGACAUCAGAUAGUUGGGCUGCACCAUGGGCUAUUGGGCCGGCAGUCCCUAACAUAUUUCAGAGGGAAAAUGCGAAUUAACAAUCCCCAACACACACCUGCAUGUUUACCACGCAAGGUGGAAGCUCAGGGAAAAAGUCCAGCACACCUUUAC